GUGCCAGCAGCCGCGGUAAUUCCAGCUCCAAUAGCGUAUAUUAAAGUUGUUGUGGUUAGAAAGCUCGUAGUUGAACCUUGGGCCUGGCUGGCCGGUCCGCCUCACCGCGUGCACUGGUCCGGCCGGGCCUUUCCCUCUGUGGAACCCCAUACCCUUCACUGGGCGUGGCGGGGAAACAGGACAUUUACUUUGAAAAAAUUAGAGUGCUCCAGGCAGGCCUAUGCUCGAAUACAUUAGCAUGGGAUAAUAAAAUAGGACGCGCGGUUCUAUUUUGUUGGUUUAUAGGACCGCCGUAAUGAUUAAUAGGGACAGUCGGGGGCAUCAGUAUUCAACUGUCAGAGGUGAAAUUCUUGGAUCAGUUGAAGACUAACUACUGCGAAAGCUUUUGCCAAGGAUGUUUUCAUUAAUCAGGAACGAAAGUUAGGGGAUCGAAGACGAUCAGAUACCGUCGUAGUCUUAACCAUAAACUAUGCCGACUAGGGAUCGGACGGUGUUAUUCAUGACCCGUUCGGCACCUUACGAGAAAUCAAAGUGCUUGGGCUCCAGGGGGAGUAUGGUCGCAAGGCUGAAACUUAAAGAAAUUGACGGAAGGGCACCACCAGGGGUGGAGCCUGCGGCUUAAUUUGACUCAACACGGGGAAACUCACCAGGUCCAGACACAAUAAGGAUUGACUGAUUGAGAGCUCUUUUCUUGAUUUUGUGGGUGGUGUGCAUGGCCGUUCUUAGUUGGUGGGGUGACUUGUCUGCUUAAUUGCGAUAACGAACGAGACCUUAACCUGCUAAAUAGCCCGCAUUGCUUCGGCAGUGCGCUUGCUUCUUAGAGGGACUUUCGGCUCAAGCCGAAGAAGUUUGAAGC
RNAcentral lists this ribosomal RNA (856 nucleotides) under uncultured fungus. Its description in RNAcentral is "SSU rRNA". It matches the Rfam family "Eukaryotic small subunit ribosomal RNA", at positions 564 to 1451 of the family's 1831-position model. The record is from RNAcentral. Lineage: Eukaryota; Fungi.